Poecilia latipinna (sailfin molly) is the source of this 992-nucleotide long non-coding RNA. RefSeq lists it as uncharacterized. The record is from RefSeq and is a predicted model, not a curated record. NCBI's taxonomy places the organism in Eukaryota, Metazoa, Chordata, Actinopteri, Cyprinodontiformes, Poeciliidae. The transcript is spliced from 3 exons.
AAGAUGGUGUGCAGCAUUAACUUUUUGCUCAUAUUUCCCAAAAGGAAAUAUUUUUUUUAUUGUUUUACAGCUGGUGGGACCUUAAAAAAUACAAGUUUUGGCCAUUUAAACGGAGGAGGAAAACAGUUGGAAAGUAUUGUUCUGUGUGCUUCAUUUACGCCAGGUGUGCAGUUGUAGAGACGCGUCUAAAACAUGACAGAGUUCAGGAAAAAAAAAAAAAAAACUGCUGUGAGAGAAAACGACGAGCUAAUUUUCAAAAGCAGGAAUUUUGCGAGUGCUGAAGACAACGCCCAGAUGCUGUCACACUACCCCGCCAACCUUAUCCUGAUGGCCUUUACAAACUUCUGAGGAGAAAAUGAUGCGUCUCCCCGCAGAAGUUCAGACAGGGAAACAUUUGCAGACACACCACCUGGAUCCCUGACUGGCAGGUACACACGUGCUGUUGUAGCUGAAAAGUUCGACAAAUGGCUGUCCAGCUCCCGUUGAGGAAGGUAUCCGUCAGCAGAUCAGACAUUUAUCAAAAAUGAUUUCAUAUUUUUAUUUAGUUGGAGGAUGUUUUUAAACCUUGUAAACAGACUAUAGAACUGAUUCUAGAGCUGGAAUCGAUGAAAAUUGUCCACUUUUUCACAAACUUAAAACAGCUCCUCUGAUUUCUGCAGUCCAGAUUACUUUAUGUCAUACAUUAAUUUAAUUUUAAAUUGUGGAUUCUUACUUAUAUGAGCAUGUGCCUUUCCAAAUUCAGUCCAAUCAGCUACAUUUACCACAGGCGAACUUCAUUUAAGAUGUAGACGCAGCUCAGUUUUGAGCUUCAUGGUAAAUGCUGUGAGCACUUAUUUAAAAUGUAUUUUCUUGUUUUCUCUAUUUUUCAUCAAUUUUCAGAAAAAACUUAUUUCCAUGUUAUAAUGGGUUAUUUGUGUGUCAAAUUUUGUGGAAAGAUGUUGAUUUAAUACAAUUUUGGAAUAAGGCUGUCACACAAAAUGUGGAAAAAAUGG